AGGAUAAGCAUGCGUCCCAUUAGCUUGUUGGUGAGGUAACGGCUCACCAAGGCAACGAUGGGUAGGGGAACUGAGAGGUUUAUCCCCCACACUGGUACUGAGACACGGACCAGACUCCUACGGGAGGCAGCAGUGAGGAAUAUUGGUCAAUGGGCGAGAGCCUGAACCAGCCAAGUCGCGUGAAGGAUGACUGUCUUAUGGAUUGUAAACUUCUUUUAUACGGGAAUAACAAGAGUCACGUGUGACUCCCUGCAUGUACCGUAUGAAUAAGCAUCGGCUAACUCCGUGCCAGCAGCCGCGGUAAUACGGAGGAUGCGAGCGUUAUCCGGAUUUAUUGGGUUUAAAGGGUGCGUAGGCGGUUUGUUAAGUCAGCGGUGAAAUCUAGAGGCUCAACCUCGAAACUGCCGUUGAAACUGGCGAACUUGAGUGUAGAUGAGGUAGGCGGAAUUCGUGGUGUAGCGGUGAAAUGCAUAGAUAUCACGAGGAACUCCGAUUGCGAAGGCAGCUUACUAAGGUGCAACUGACGCUGAAGCACGAAAGCGUGGGUAUCAAACAGGAUUAGAUACCCUGGUAGUCCACGCAGUAAACGAUGAUAACUGGGCGCAUGCGAUAUACAGUAUGCUCCUAA
Molecule: ribosomal RNA, 628 nt
Filed under: uncultured Bacteroidota bacterium
Lineage: Bacteria; Pseudomonadati; Bacteroidota
Description: bacterial SSU rRNA
Rfam family: Bacterial small subunit ribosomal RNA
Source: RNAcentral